GACGAACGCUGGCGGCGUGCUUAACACAUGCAAGUCGAACGGUAAGGCCCCUUCGGGGGUACACGAGUGGCGAACGGGUGAGUAACACGUGGGUGAUCUGCCCUGCACUUCGGGAUAAGCCUGGGAAACUGGGUCUAAUACCGGAUAGGACCACGCUCUGCAUGGAGUGUGGUGGAAAGCUUUUGCGGUGUGGGAUGGGCCCGCGGCCUAUCAGCUUGUUGGUGGGGUGAUGGCCUACCAAGGCGACGACGGGUAGCCGGCCUGAGAGGGUGUCCGGCCACACUGGGACUGAGAUACGGCCCAGACUCCUACGGGAGGCAGCAGUGGGGAAUAUUGCACAAUGGGCGCAAGCCUGAUGCAGCGACGCCGCGUGGGGGAUGACGGCCUUCGGGUAGUAAACCUCUUUCAGUACCGACGAAGCGCAAGUGACGGUAGGUACAGAAGAAGCACCGGCCAACUACGU
Molecule: ribosomal RNA, 463 nt
Filed under: uncultured bacterium
Lineage: Bacteria
Description: partial 16S ribosomal RNA
Rfam family: Bacterial small subunit ribosomal RNA
Source: RNAcentral